This 496-nucleotide ribosomal RNA is filed under the name uncultured bacterium. RNAcentral describes it as "partial 16S ribosomal RNA". It matches the Rfam family "Bacterial small subunit ribosomal RNA", at positions 28 to 507 of the family's 1533-position model. The record is from RNAcentral.
GAUGAACGCUGCGGCGUGCCUAAUACAUGCAAGUCGAGCGAACGGACGAGAAGCUUGCUUUUCUGAUGUUAGCGGCGGACGGGUGAGUAACACGUGGAUAACCUACCUAUAAGACUGGGAUAACUUCGGGAAACCGGAGCUAAUACCGGAUAAUAUUUUGAACCGCAUGGUUCAAAAGUGAAAGACGGUCUUGCUGUCACUUAUAGAUGGAUCCGCGCUGCAUUAGCUAGUUGGUAAGGUAACGGCUUACCAAGGCAACGAUGCAUAGCCGACCUGAGAGGGUGAUAGGGCACACUGGAACUGAGACACGGUCCAGACUCCUACGGGAGGCAGCAGUAGGGAAUCUUCCGCAAUGGGCGAAAGCCUGACGGAGGAACGCCGAGUGAGUGAUGAAGGUCUUCGGAUCGUAAAACUCUGUUAUUAGGGAAGAACAAAUGUGUAAGUAACUAUGCACGUCUUGACGGUACAUAAUCAGAAAGGAACGGCUAACUACGUG